RNAcentral lists this ribosomal RNA (280 nucleotides) under uncultured bacterium. RNAcentral describes it as "partial 16S ribosomal RNA". It matches the Rfam family "Bacterial small subunit ribosomal RNA", at positions 506 to 784 of the family's 1533-position model. The record is from RNAcentral.
UGCCAGCCGCCGCGGUAAUACGGGGGGUGCAAGCGUUAUUCGGAUUUAUUGGGCGUAAAGGGCAUGUAGGCGGCCUUGUAAGUCUGGUGUGAAAACUCUACCGCUCAACGGAGAGACUGCAUCGGAAACUACAAAGCUUGAGUGCAAGAGAGGUCAGUAGAAUACCUGGUGUAGCGGUGGAAUGCGUAGAUAUCAGGUAGAAUACCAGUGGCGAAGGCGACUGACUGGCUUGUUACUGACGCUAAGGUGCGAAAGCGUGGGGAGCGAACGGGAUUAGAUA